UAAUAUUCACAACGCCGAAAAUACCAAGUUUGCCAUAAAAAAAAAACUGUUGUCGAACCAAGACGAUUGAAUCGGGUACGGAAAGCAAAGAGGUUUUCCUUAGGCCCUAAGCUUUAAAACAUUGUCAGUGAUGAUUUGCACUGAGUUGGAGGAUGCUGGCCAAAGAGACAAUCUCGAGAUCUCUGCAUCAGACGCUCUUGGGGAAAAGCUGAUUGGCUGCAAGUCUGUUUGGUGAAAGGAGGAAGAUGCUGAUCCCUUCUCAGAGAGUGGAGACUCUUCCUGGUCCUUUGUCCUUUUUCCGAGGUGUGAGUAAGGAGGUUAUCACUCUGAAGGAAGAAGGAGUUCCUGUAGAGCGACCUACAGCACUAUGGGGAGCAUGGUCUCCAGCAGAAGCCAGUCCAGGUCAGCCUCCCCCUGUCCAACCAGCUCGUCACAGAGGACACUCUGCUUGUGGCUAAAGUGGAGGACCACGGUGAUGCAGAUGAAAAGGAGAUUGACUUAAAGCUCUCGGGCUGCCAGGCUUUCUCCACUGCAAAGCCAAAGUUCUCUGCCUGGAAGAGGUUCCGCAACUACCUGAGGAAGAAGAUGAGAUCUUCCUCAGAGCAGACCCCCCAAGGUGGAGAACCUGGACCAGGACUGGCUGCUGGAUGCCUUACUGGCAGUUGUUUAAACUGUUCUGCAAGAGCAAAUAAAAUACCAUUCUAUUUUGCCUUGCACAUAUUAAUAAUAAAAAUAAAGAAAUUGGAAUUA
Long non-coding RNA from Oncorhynchus tshawytscha (Chinook salmon), 750 nucleotides. RefSeq lists it as uncharacterized. The record is from RefSeq and is a predicted model, not a curated record. The transcript has 2 exons. Lineage: Eukaryota; Metazoa; Chordata; Actinopteri; Salmoniformes; Salmonidae.